This 129-nucleotide ribosomal RNA is filed under the name Klebsiella pneumoniae. Its description in RNAcentral is "partial 23S ribosomal RNA". It matches the Rfam family "Bacterial large subunit ribosomal RNA", at positions 2798 to 2925 of the family's 2925-position model. Lineage: Bacteria; Pseudomonadati; Pseudomonadota; Gammaproteobacteria; Enterobacterales; Enterobacteriaceae. The record is from RNAcentral. RNAcentral also lists the same sequence under 1 other name.
CCUGAGACUUUAAGUCUCCUGAAGGAACGUUGAAGACGACGACGUUGAUAGGCCGGGUGUGUAAGCGCAGCGAUGCGUUGAGCUAACCGGUACUAAUGAACCGUGAGGCUUAACCUUACAACGCCGAAG